Long non-coding RNA from Mauremys reevesii (Reeves's turtle), 519 nucleotides. RefSeq lists it as uncharacterized. The record is from RefSeq and is a predicted model, not a curated record. NCBI's taxonomy places the organism in Eukaryota, Metazoa, Chordata, Testudines, Geoemydidae. The transcript is spliced from 4 exons.
UAGGUUGGGGCUUGAGCAGCAUUGAGAAAAGAAUGCUAGUAAACUUGAAGAGAAGGAUUGAGCUAAACUUUAUCCCCAGAUUGUUGACUUCUUUGGCUAACAAAGUCAAACCCUGGAAAGGAGUGAGUUUGGACUUGUGGACCGUGGAAGCCUAGGAGCACCAGUCAUGGACCAGGAUUCCAUCAUGCUAGAUACUGCACAUACGCAGAACAACAAACAGUCCCUGCUCUAAAGAGCUAACAGUGACUAAAACCUGAUGCUUCAGAAGAAGCGAGUCUCGUGGAAGAUCUAGAACAAGAUUCGAUGCAGGCCAGUUUUCAUCAGGCUUUCUGAAGUAUCCCAAAAGUGUGAUUUUUUCCAAGUCACCUUCCCACUCUGCUCAGAAUCAAAAGCCAUGCUCUUCUCUGAAGAAGGAAUGGAAACCCAAACAUAGUCUGCACACACAAUAGCUAUGCCUAGAUGGCUAUCUUCGUUUCCUGAUUACCAGGGACUUUCUGGGGCCCAUUUUUUAAAGAACAA